CAGCGCCACGAGUGGCAAUCGCGAUUAUUGGGCCUAAAGCGUCCGUAGCCGGUUCGGUAAAUCCUUUGUGAAAUCGCCAAGCUUAACUUGGCGGCGUGCAGGGGACACUGCCGAACUCGAGACCGGGAGGAGUUAGAAGUAUUUUGGGGGAGCGGUAAAAUGCUAUAAUCCCAGAAGGACUACCGAUGGCGAAGGCAUCUAACUAGAACGGAUCUGACGGUGAGGGACGAAAGCCAGGGGAGCGAACCGGAUUAGAUACCCGAGUAGUCC
RNAcentral lists this ribosomal RNA (270 nucleotides) under uncultured archaeon. Its description in RNAcentral is "partial 16S ribosomal RNA". It matches the Rfam family "Archaeal small subunit ribosomal RNA", at positions 477 to 747 of the family's 1478-position model. The record is from RNAcentral.